This 931-nucleotide long non-coding RNA is filed under the name Homo sapiens (human). RNAcentral's name for it is "non-protein coding lnc-ALB-10:1". The record is from RNAcentral. Lineage: Eukaryota; Metazoa; Chordata; Mammalia; Primates; Hominidae.
AGUCCGAGGCCGGACCAAAACUGCAGAGACAUGGGUGGAGCCUGCUGCCCUCCGCCAGGCUGGGUGUUCUUUAGGGAGCUCUCGCCUUGUAAAGUUCAUCUACACCGUGUAACUUACCAUUCUUUUUCACUAAAGCUAAUAGUCAUUUGUAGUGGAAUUAUCCUUGCUCGGUUUUUUGUGACCAGAAGCUGAUCCCCAACCUCUUUACGUGCACCUGAUUGCUUCCGUUAGCGAUUACGAUAGAUUAUCAUACUCAAGAGUCACACGUUGCUAAAGUACCUGCUUGUAGAGAGACGCAUGUUUCUUGCUGACUCUGAGUGUUAAGCACGAGGGAUAGUUCAGUCUCUUGUAGAUUUAAUUGGCCCAUCUGUUCCAGUUAGUAUUUGGACCACCAACUGCAAACUGAAUUUCUUCGGUGUUUUGUCUUCCAUGAUAAAUAGCAGCAAAAAUCUUAUAGUAAAAGUAUCAUCUCUUUAUUUAAGGGAAACUAUCACUGGCAGUACGGUGAAUUCCUUGAGUUUACUUGUAUCCUAUAUAAGCUUUAAAGAGCCUGAACAGCAGCACUGGCUGUCUUCUGGUUUAAAGGAAUACGUUGAAUCUACAUGGACUAUAUAGUUUUAACUUUUGUGUUCCUGGAAACAACAAAAUGGAAUGUUGUGGAGGAGUUUCCUCACCGAAGGGUCACCCCUAGACUACAGACUAAAAUAUGUUGUGAGGAGUAAACCUUGAUUUUUAUUUAUUUAUUUAUUUACUUACUUAGGAAAAGAAGCCUCCAACAAUGUUGGGUAAUGUCAAACGCCAGCUAUUGUUUGCCCUUCACUGUGCACCUAACCAAGGGUACCCUACGAUAACUUUCUCAGGAUUCUGGAAUUCAUCUGCUUUCCAAACUGACUGAUAAAUCUAUACAUGAAUUUUUAAAUGUGUUUAAACA